Molecule: ribosomal RNA, 497 nt
Filed under: uncultured bacterium
Lineage: Bacteria
Description: partial 16S ribosomal RNA
Rfam family: Bacterial small subunit ribosomal RNA
Source: RNAcentral
GAUGAACGCUGGCGGCGUGCCUAAUACAUGCAAGUCGAACGCUGAAGGAAGGAGCUUGCUCUUUCCGGAUGAGUUGCGCACGGGUGAGUAACGCGUAGGUAACCUGCCUGGUAGCGGGGGAUAACUAUUGGAAACGAUAGCUAAUACCGCAUAACAGUAGAUGUUGCAUGAUAUCUACUUAAAAGGUGCAAUUGCACCACUACCAGCUGGACCUGCGUUGUAUUAGCUAGUUGGUGAGGUAACGGCUCACCAAGGCGACGAUACAUAGCCGACCUGAGAGGGGGAGCGGCCACACUGGGACGGAGACACGGCCCAGACUCCUUCGGGAGGCAGCAGGAGGGAAACGUCGGCAAGGGGCGGAAGUCUGACCGAGCAACGCCGCGGGAGGGAAGAAGGGUGUCGGAUCGGAAAGCUCGGUUGUAAGGGAAGAACGAGUGUGAGAGUGGAAAGUUCACACUGUGACGGUAGCUUAUCAGAAAGGGACGGCUAACUACGUG